RNAcentral lists this ribosomal RNA (220 nucleotides) under uncultured bacterium. RNAcentral's name for it is "partial 16S ribosomal RNA". It matches the Rfam family "Bacterial small subunit ribosomal RNA", at positions 111 to 334 of the family's 1533-position model. The record is from RNAcentral.
UAAUGCUUGGGAAUCUAGCUUAUGGAGGGGGAUAACUACGGGAAACUGUAGCUAAUACCGCGUAGAAUCGAGAGAUGAAAGUGUGGGACCUUCGGGCCACAUGCCAUAGGAUGAGCCCAAGUGGGAUUAGGUAGUUGGUGAGGUAAAGGCUCACCAAGCCGACGAUCUCUAGCUGGUCUGAGAGGAUGACCAGCCACACUGGGACUGAGACACGGCCCAG